GGCUGUUAGUGCGAGUAUUCAUACUAGGCCCAUCUAAUAUUAGGAUUUUUCUUAUUUGCAAACACAAAAAAAAUUAGAUCAGCCGCAGUGACUCUUCGACUCUGAACAUUCCGACCACUGGUUGUGUAAUCUUCCGUUUUCGCCUUACAUCUCCUUUAAUUCUAUAAUUUACGUGGUACCCACGACUCAUCCCACUCUCUCUUCCACUAAACAGCCUCAUUCUUCGAAAGUAACGUCCUGGAAGCUCUAGACUAUAAAUGUGGUUCUUCUCUGCGAUGAACAACUACACUGCCACCAAAUCUCUAGGUUUAAUUGUUGUCAAGCUUGCCGACAUGCUCCUCCUUGAUGAGAAGGGCAGGUUCUCACCAGAACUGGAAAACUUGGGGUAGGAUCCAGGGACUCGAAGGUCUACAAAGAUUCCAGACAAUGGUCGUUUUUGUGAUUUACUUCGGUCUGAUCCUGGUCAGAAGAAUCAAGGAUGGUCUGAUAUUGAUUGAGGAAUUUCCUGCACGUUUGAAGCCGAUGUAGUCAUUGAGUUCUUGGAUAAGAAUGAUUUUGAUCUCAUUUGCCAAGGCCAUCAGGUAGUGGAAGAUAGGUACGAGUUUUUCGUUGGAGAUUAGUAGUGAUAUUCACCAUAAAACUUGUCUUACUUGAUCAGGUUCAUAGCUUACAUCAUUUUUCUCACUUUACUUUUGACCUUUAUGCUUCUUUCAACGCUUUCAUAUCAUUAUUAUCAAAUAUGACAUUGAAUUUGGAUUUAUGACAGUCCAUAACCUGCAACAAAAAUGAAGUUAUGUACCAAGGAAGCUUCCUUUAAGCCAUUAUUCUUUCAAACAUGAUCCAAAACAAUCAUUUUUUCCUGACCAAAUUGUUUGCUUUUGUAAUUAUAGAAAGCGUGAAAGAGUGGUAAAAAGAAGUCUAGAAGUUGGUUUUGUAAUUAUAGAAAGGGUGGUUAAAAGAAGUCUAGAAGUUGGUUUCUUUGUUCUUAGUUUACGAAGCUCACCUCGGUUACAUCAUUGAAGACGUUCACCCAAACGGUAGUAUCAAGAAAAUCAAAUCUUCUGUCUACUCCAACUUUAUAAUUUCCUUUCGUCUAAGAUACAUUUCGACUGGUUCCCCAAUCCAGUCGUUCUCAAAGUCAUGUCGCACACACAACAAGGUGAGAUGUCUUUGUUUGCAAAUCGGUUUCGAAGGUUACGAGAAGCAGCUCGAGGUCAUCUUUCAAGACUCCAAGGGAUUUGGUCUCCGUGCUCUGAUCAAGUCGCAGUUGAACUAAAUACUCACUCCUGCUGCAUGUGCGGCCGUACUCACUCCUGCUGCAAGGCUGCAGACUCAGUUGGGACAUCACCAGAGCCUACAACUAAGAAGCCAGUGAGGUGUAACAACCUUGAGUAGACGUUAUAGUGGCCUCAAUUAUCGCUCAGCCCAACUAUCAUCUAUCAUAUUUUUAUAGUUCUGCUUCCAGUUGAAUAAUUGUAAGGCUUAUUAAGUCUGUCUAUGCAAAAGUUUGGGUUUUGGUAUCUUAAAAUUUCACUUCUACACCUAAGUGAGUCGAGAAGAAAACAAUAUUUCUCAGCUUCUUA
Long non-coding RNA from Brassica napus (rape), 1583 nucleotides. RefSeq lists it as uncharacterized. The transcript is spliced from 4 exons. The record is from RefSeq and is a predicted model, not a curated record. NCBI's taxonomy places the organism in Eukaryota, Viridiplantae, Streptophyta, Magnoliopsida, Brassicales, Brassicaceae.